Molecule: ribosomal RNA, 198 nt
Filed under: uncultured bacterium
Lineage: Bacteria
Description: partial 16S ribosomal RNA
Rfam family: Bacterial small subunit ribosomal RNA
Source: RNAcentral
ACGCUCGACACCUACGGGGGCAGCAGUGGGGAACAUUGCACAAUGGGGGAAACCCUGAUGCAGCGACGCCGCGUGAGCGAAGAAGUAUUUCGGUAUGUAAAGCUCUAUCAGCAGGGAAGAAGAAAGACGGUACCUGACUAAGAAGCCCCGGCUAACUACGUGCCUGCAGCCGCGGUAAUCUGAGCGGGCUGGCAAGGC